This 267-nucleotide ribosomal RNA is filed under the name uncultured bacterium. Its description in RNAcentral is "partial 16S ribosomal RNA". The stretch from base 35 to 267 matches the Rfam family "Bacterial small subunit ribosomal RNA", at positions 552 to 777 of the family's 1533-position model. The record is from RNAcentral.
UACAGAGGUCCCCAACGACGUUGUUCGGUAGUUCUACUGGGCGGUAAAGAAGUGCGUAGGUUGUCGUAGUUAGUCUUCUGUUUAAUUACCUUCGGUCUCAACCGGAGAACUGCAGAGGAAACGGACUAUGCUUGAGCAUGUAAGAGGUCUGCAGAACUCAUGGUGUAGGGUGAAAUCCGUUGAUAUCAUGGGGAAUACCCAAAUGCGAAGGCAGCAGACUGGUGCAUUGCUGACACUGAGGCACGAAAGCGUAGGUAGCGAAUGGGA